CGUGCUCAUUUUCUUCCUCGUCGUCACCUCUUCCUCGCAAUCCAAAUCGCAGCCUCCUCGCCAUGGCUUGUGAAAGAAAUCGUAGCACCAUAUUCUUAGGGUUCGCAUCGCCUUAAAGUCUAUCUAGACAGACAGACAGACAGACAGACAGACAGACAGGUCACGGUUGGAGGUUUUGUCAACAGGCUACAGCUUCGAAUGUGAUUUGAGCUUCAGAGUCGCGCGUGCGUGUGCCAAUUCUUUUAUUUAUUUUACUUUUUUGCUUUUUGAUCGCUUUUUGAAAUGUUUCAUGACAUGACUCGUUGUUAAGGUAGCUUUCGUGCCAGGUAAUUCUGUUUGAUGAAUUGAAGUAGAGGAGAAAGUUUGUUGCCGCGAAGUGGUGCAAGCAAUUGGAGAUCUUCUCUGGUUUGCCGGAAGAUAAGACGAAGAAGAGAUAAACGAGAGAUAAUCAUGAGAUGAAACGAAGUCCUGAAUGCAUUUUUAUUUUUAUUUUUAAAUUUCUUGUUGGUGAUAGCUAAUUAGAAUGGAUUUGGACCGUAAAGAGCACCAGAAGCGAAAAGCUCGUCUUUCAGAAAGUAAUGUUGUGGAGCUUCACCUCCUGGUUACGGGUCUGCUUCACGCAGUCUUCGGAAAAGAGCACACUGCUCAGGACGCAUUUUGUGAUAUUGAAUUAGAAGUUCAGCGACUUGGAUGAGCUGCACUACUAGAGCUGUUUGACACUCUUAGCGUGGAGCUCAUUUAUUGUGAAAGACUAGCACAAAUGAUUGUUCAAGAUGAUCUAUAACUAUCCUUCGUACAGGAAGAGAUCCCUUCUUGUCCAUCUUGCUAUUGCAGAAGAAUCGAUGAAUCAGAGGAAGUUCCUGGCCAGAUUCUGAUCUAUGUACAGCUGGAGGAGGACCGGCUCUAUGCUAUAGCACAUGUUGGACGUAGGCGAACUACUGUUAGAGGAGCCGCUCGAGCUUUGAUGGUUCCUACUGCUUCUACCCUUUGAGAUCUUCUUCAGCAGCAUAUGUGCGUUGGUAUUGAAGGGUUUAUGAAUGACGUGAUUAAAAGCGGAGGUCUGUUUCAGUCAGUCCUUCGUCAACUGAUAGCAGGUCACUUGUAACUUCUCGAUAACUAGUUUCGCGACCUCGCAGAAACCGCUUUUAGGAUGCUGUUUAAGGCUGAAUGUUUAGUUGUGUUUCAAGUCAAUCUAUUUCAAUCUUUUGUUAUUGACCUGCAGGAAAUGUACGAGUCUCUGACUACGAAUCGGAAUAGAUAAGUACUCCACGUUGAUUGAAUUAAAUCGCCUCCAUGUUUUGAAAUCACUUAAUAUUUGAUUUCAUUUCGGUGCGAUACAUCAACAAUGAGUUGGCAUAUUUAUGCAGAAUGUAGAUACUUUUGAAAGGGCAUUUGAAGCGAAUAUGAUUGAGAGGCAUUAUCUUGUUCAA
This is a non-coding RNA of Physcomitrium patens, 1430 nucleotides long. The record is from RefSeq and is a predicted model, not a curated record. NCBI's taxonomy places the organism in Eukaryota, Viridiplantae, Streptophyta, Bryopsida, Funariales, Funariaceae.